AUGAAAAGAACUUUGAAAAGAGAGUCAAAAAGUGCUUGAAAUUGUUGAGGGGGAAGCCAUUGGCAGGUCAAGAUGCGCCCGGGCUCGAAGCUGGCUUAACGGCCUGUGUCACGCGCCGGGCGCCUGUCAGCUUGGGUUCGGUGUGUGGGAGAAACCCGCCUUUGUCGGCGGUCUAUGCCGCGCGCCGGACUCAUGCUGACUUAAGGCCGUCAAUGGGCCCGUCUUGAAACACGGACCAAGGAGUCUAACAUGUACGCGAGUUGGCGGGUGGAAAACCCGUAAGCGCAAGGAAACUGACUGGUGGGAGGGCCUGUGCCUGCACCAUCGACCGACCAUGAUCUUCUGUGAAAGGUUCGAGUACGAGCGUACCUGUUGGGACCCGAAAGAUGGUGAACUAUGCCUGAGCAGGGCGAAGCCAGAGGAAACUCUGGUGGAGGCUCGUAGAUGUGCUGACGUGCAAAUCGCUUUUCGGACUUGGGUAUAGGGGCGAAAGACUAAUCGAACCAUCUAGUAGCUGGUUCCCUCCGAAGUUUCCCCCAGGAUAGCUGGAGCUUUUCAGUUUUAUCA
Molecule: ribosomal RNA, 567 nt
Filed under: Ulva torta
Lineage: Eukaryota; Viridiplantae; Chlorophyta; Ulvophyceae; Ulvales; Ulvaceae
Description: eukaryotic LSU rRNA
Rfam family: Eukaryotic large subunit ribosomal RNA
Source: RNAcentral